GUCUGAGAUGGAGCACUUGUGGAUGUGUCCCUCAUACGUGCCCACCAGAUAGACACUGGAAUCCUGCAGGACAAGAGCAAUCAAGCAAAACAUGGCAAGGAGUGUAAGACAAGAAGAAGAAGAAGCCAGCAGAGCAGGCAACUACAACUGAAGUACCUAUGCAGUCGAGAGCGUUGCUGCUGAGGAGCCACUUGGAGACCCUGCUGUCUGUCGACACAGAGACGACAUUUUCUACACUUCCCUGUCCUGACAGAUUCAUCUCUUGUUUGAUGCACCUCACCUGCCACACUGGGUGCAGGUGCCUUUUAGAGCACUCACUGCAACACAAAUAUAAGGAAAACUAUGUUUGUAUAUCAAAAGUGUACAUUUCAACAUUAAUUUGACACACACACAAAGUCCUCACCUGCUGCUGGC
This is a long non-coding RNA of Labrus bergylta (ballan wrasse), 414 nucleotides long. RefSeq lists it as uncharacterized. NCBI's taxonomy places the organism in Eukaryota, Metazoa, Chordata, Actinopteri, Labriformes, Labridae. The record is from RefSeq and is a predicted model, not a curated record.